This is a long non-coding RNA of Megalobrama amblycephala (Wuchang bream), 200 nucleotides long. RefSeq lists it as uncharacterized. The transcript has 2 exons. The record is from RefSeq and is a predicted model, not a curated record. Lineage: Eukaryota; Metazoa; Chordata; Actinopteri; Cypriniformes; Xenocyprididae.
CAUUUCAUUCCUUUACUUAAUGUGCACUGAAACUUAUCUUUUAUCUUAAGAAUAAAAGGUGCACAGGUAAAAUGAAAACAAUGAAAAAAGUGCAAUAUUAGUAUUGCUCAGAAAACAGUAGUUUGGUAUUUUGCUUAUAGGAUCAGUGGACUGUGGUGUAACAUCAUCUCAUUCCACUUAAUCUGGCAAUGAAAACAGAA